Molecule: non-coding RNA, 3674 nt
Organism: Podarcis lilfordi (Lilford's wall lizard)
Lineage: Eukaryota; Metazoa; Chordata; Lepidosauria; Squamata; Lacertidae
Source: the annotation of a GenBank genome assembly
CAAAGCUGGACCAAAGGCUACCCUAGCAAGUAGCAACCCAGCUAAGCUGUUGCAUGCAUGGCAAGAGGUCUGCUCACACAACAGAACUCUUCCCCUUCUCCUUCCCCAAUGUCUCUGUGGCCCUCCAGAUGGACUCCAACUCCCGUCAGCCCUGGCCUGCAUGGUGAAUGGUGAGGGAUGAUAUGUUGUAGUGCAACAAUGUGUGGGUAGCCACAGAUGCCCCACCCAUAGUCAAAGGGCAAGAGUCUUAUUACAAAUGCAAUUAUUCCUGAGUUCGAUUCCCAGACAAUUCUCAUGCAGCCACAAAAACAGAAAUCACACCUUCACUGUUCAGAUAGGCUGCAGGUCAAUGAUAGUGCAGAUGAUUUAACUUUGGAAGAUCUUGGGUUCAAUCCCUAGCAAUCCAACCAGAGCUAGGAAAGGCUCUGUCUGAAACCCCAGAGUACUACUCAGUGUCAGUGUAGACUAUACAGAGCUAAACAGGCUAAUAGCUUGUGUUGGUAUAAGGUAGAUUCCUAUGUUCCUAACCUCCACAGCACAAAUGUGGGUUAUUUCUUCUAUGAGAAUUACAACAUAGUUUCAAAAGUGUCAACUCAAUUGGUCUCAACCAAUCAUGAACCAUGCAAUAUACAAGAUGCUGUUGCAAUCGGAUUUGACUAUGUGUUGAUGUCAUUCAGGAGAUGUCAAAGGAAAUAAAAGUAAAAGCAAAGGAAGGAACAAGUAAAUGUUUUUUCAAUGAGCUUAAAGGAGGGGGAGAAAUGGGAGAUGAUUUCAGGACUUCUGAAAAUGCUCGUGAAAAUCAUGAAGUAAGGUAAAGAACCCCUUGAGUGUUAAGUCCAGUCAAAGGUGACUAUGGAGUGUGGCGCUCAGCUCGCUUUCAGGCCACGGGAGCCGGCAUUUGUCCACAGACAGCUUUCUGGGUCAUGCGGCCAGCAGGAAUAAACCGCUUCUGUCACAACAGGACACCGUGAUGGAAGCCAGAGCACACAGAAAUGCUGCUUACUUUUCCGCUGCAGCUGUACCUAUUUAUCUACUUGCACUGGCGUGCUUUCGAACUGCUAGGUUGGCAGGUGCAGGGACCGAGCAACGGGAGCUCACCCCGUUGCAGGGAUUCAAACUGCUGGCCUUCUGAUUAGCAAGCCCAAGAGGCUCAGUGGUUUAGACCACAGCGCCACCUGCAUCCCUUAUGAAGUUCAUAUGUGCAGCUGAAUUUGUCUCUGCUCUGUGAUUAUUAUGGUAACAACUGUCUACGUCUCUUGUCUCUUGGAAAAAGAUAAAAAGUGUUACAUUGAGGAAAUGCUAGUGUAAUGUGUGAGCUUUAUAAUAUAUAUCAAGUCUUUAACUAGUUUAUAAGGGGGGGUCAGUUAAUUUUUUAAAAUAACGAACAUCGGCGGCAUCAAGAAGCCUCGUGUUUAUGACUCUCCUUAAGGAAGCACAGGCCAAAUAAAAAUGCAAUAAAACUCUUUCUCUCCUAAUAGGGGAUAUAAUUGGAAAGAAUCUCCAAGGGAUUUUGCUUGCUCCUUCUACAUAAAACCCUAUUAAUGGCUGAUCCCAGAACAAAGAUACAUUUCUAGUGAUCCCUUACCCCUAAUCCAUCCAGCUCUCUCCCUGGUGGGAACACAGGUGCUCAGACACGUUAAGAACCUCUUUCUUUUGUAAGGAGCCUGUAACGGAUAAGACCCAGGCAUAGUGUAGAGAUGGAAAUUGGUCCACAAGGCAGGGAAAUGAUCCUUUUCUGUAGGGAGCAAAAGAUAUAUGAUCCAAAUGAAGAGAAACGUUGGGGGCGGGUGGAGAGAAAGAAAGCUUUGUGUAAAAUAGAAUUUUGUCAGGGUGUUUUUGUUUUUAAAAGCCGCCACUAUUGUUGUUUUAAAAUGGGGUAGUAAGUGUGCUUUCUGCCACCAUGCAUAGCAAGUCAUAAGGCUCAGAAAGCCUAGGCAUAGGAACUCAGGGAGCUCCCUUGUACUACAGUGGUACCUCGGGUUACAUACGCUUCAGGUUACAGACUCCGCUAACCCAGAAAUAGUACCUCGGGUUAAGAACUUUGCUUCAGGGUGAGAACAGAAACCGUGCUCUGGCAGCAGGAGGCCCCAUUAGCUAAAGUGGUGCUUCAGGUUAAGAACAGUUUCAGGUUAAGAGCGGACCUCCGAAACAAAUUAAGUACUUAACCCGAGGUACCACUGUACACUGUGUUGUUGUAACCCACCCUGGGACCUUAUGGUGAAGGAUGGGAAAUAAAUCUUACAAAUAAAUAAAGGAUAUUAAUCUGGAUUGUCUCAGAUUCAGACCUCUUCCACAAACCCACCUCUCUCUAAGAAUAUAAUUUGCAUGCUCAGAAAAGUGGUGCUUCAGGUUAAGAACAGUUUCAGGUUAAGAACGGACCUCCAGAACAAAUUAAGUAUAUAACCAGAGGUACCACUGUAUUAUUGACACAGUCCAACCAUGUUUAUCCAGGAUUUCAGGCAUUUUCCCCCAGCCCUACAUGGGGAUCAAACCUGGGACUUUCUGAAUGCAAGGCAGAUGUUCUACCACCGAUCUCUGGCCUUUCCCAGGAAAUGCCUGCUGCAUUGCUUGCCAUGCAUUCGCAUUCAACUCACGUGCACCACAGAAUACAGGUUGUCAGGGAGACCUCUAGUCUGGAACCCUACUUUCCCUGGUGUGCUAGCUUUCUUUGUGCAGGCUUCCCGCAGGCAUCUAGCUGACUGCUAUGAGGACAGAGUGCUAGACUAGAUGGGCCUUUGGCCUGUUCUAGCAGGGCUCUUAUGUCAGGGGGCUGGGGGGCUGAAUAAUGGCAGAGUAGGGCAAUGAGAUGUGGGUGGCACUGUGGGUUAAACCACAGAGCCUAGGACUUGCUGAUCAGAUAGUUGGCGGUUCAAAACCCCGCGACGGGAUGAGCUCCCGUUGCUCAGUCCCUGCUCCUGCCAACCUAGCAGUUCGAAAGCACAUCAAAGUGCAAGUAGAUAAAUAGGUACCACUCCGGCAGGAAGGUAAACGGCAUUUCUGUGCGCUGCUCUGGUUCGCCAGAAGCAGCUUAGUCAUGCUGGCCACAUAAAGCGAGAUGAGCGCCGCAAUCCCAGAGUCGGUGAUGACUGGACCUAAUGGUCAGGGGUCCCUUUACCUUUACCUUUAGGGCAAUGAGAUGGAGUAUCCCAUUGAGAAGUUGGCAUCAACAGUUCUUGAUUGUCUGUUUCUAAUGGCUCAAUCCCAGCAUAAGGAAGUUUACAUAAUGCAGUUUUUGAAUAGAAGUUGAUUUUCUCUUUUUAUUGGUGUGUGUGUGUGUGUGUGUUGUCUAUGUUCAGGUCAGGAUGGAUUGCUUUAAAUAGUUGGGAUUGCUAAGGUAUUAGAGCAUGAGCUUCAUGAGUUUGAGCCCAACAUUGGGAAAAAGGAUCCUGCAUUGCAGGGGGUUGGACUAGAUGACCCUCGUGGUCCCUUCCAACUCUACAGUUCUAUGACUCAGUGAUCCUGGAAAAGGGUGUGUUCUGGCUGGCUGGAAUCCUAAACAGGAAUUCUUCUCACUGCAACAUUCUGUUACAGGUCCCACUUGUUAGAUUGUUAAAAAAAGGCGGAAGAAACACGUUUCCCAUUGAAGAGAGUGAAUUUGCAGCAUGAUCCAAUUAGAAGAGCUGCUUGUUGGGUAAUCAAGAGAGCUGCUGAUAAAGAUACUCAGAAAGACAGAG